AGUGUGAGACGUGUAGCUAGGGCUGUGCACUCCACAGAGCUGGUGGGAGCUGGGAAUAGGUGAAAACCCUGCCUCCUUGUGAGUUGGCAGGACGGGAGCCUCCUGUUCCCUGGCUGCUGUUGUGGCCACCGAGCCGCAGCCCUGGAGCCAGGCAUCCCUGUGCUUGGGGAUCAGAGCGAGCAGGAGCAGAUCCUCUCCCUUCUGGGUGCAGCUGCAGCUGCCCAGCCAUGGCUGUGGUCCCGGAAGUCUCUGUGCUCUUGGGAGCUGGGAGGGCCCUCUGCCUCCUGCCCCUUACGCACUCCAGAGUCUCCUCUCUGUUGAGAGCUAAGCAGACAUCAGGACUACCAGCUGCAGAGAGGAGCUACCCACUGUGGGCUUCGUCUCUGCUGAGAGCUGAACACUCACUGGGACGCCCUGCCUAUGGAAACCAGCUGUUCACUCUGGGUCUCCUCUGAGCUGUUCUGUCGCUCAGUAAAGGUCUUCUUCUGCUUACUCGCCCUCCAUUUGUCUGCCUUACCUCAUUCAUCCUGGACACAGGACAAGAACUUGGGACUUGCCGGUAUGGUGGAGCUAAAAUAGCUGUAACACAAACAGGAUUGAAACAUGCCCCUUGCUCGCCACAUUGUGGAUGACAAGAGGGAGGGAAGAAAGGAGAGAAGAUCUGCGACCCUUCGGCAAACCCAGACUUAGGAGAUCGGAGAGCCAAGACUGUGACACCCUUUCUGGGGCUCUGUGGUUCCUGGCGUCUCCAAGCUUCUGGGCACCUCGGCUUUCCCCGGUGCCAGUCGUGGAAGCUGCUUGUGGCCUCCAUUUGCUGUUUGGGAAACUCUCUACGCUAUGAAUGUUAGCUGGCAGCAAACACUGCCUCCCACUACAGGGGCACACAGUGUUGGUGCCUGCUUUUCCACCCUCCACUUCCAACAGGAAGCAAGCACAGGACCCAAGCAUUGCAGACAGUUGUAUCACGCCAAUGUGCAUUCGGAGCCACUGACAGAGUCUUGCUUUGUCACCCAGGCUGGAGUACAGUGGCGUGAUCACAGCUUACUGAAACGUCUGCGUCUCAGGUUCAAGCGAUUUUUCUGCCUCAGCCUCUGGUGUAGCUGGAAUUACAGUGUUAGCAGUCACUGAUGCUCAAACAUGAGAAGACUGGGACAUCCAUCAGAUAAGAAACGCUGCCCAAAGUGUUAGACUAAUAAGUGACAGGGUUGGACAAUGAACCCAACCACUCAACCUUCCGGAAAAGUGCUGGAGAGGAUGUGGAGAAAUAGGAACACUUUUACACUGUUGGUGGGACUGUAAACUAGUUCAACCAUUGUGGAAGUCAGUGUGGCGAUUCCUCAGAGAUGUAGAACUAGAAAUACCAUUUGACCCAGCCAUCCCAUUACUGGGUAUGUACCCAAAGGAUUAUAAAUCAUGCUGCUAUAAAGACACAUACACACGUAUGUUUAUUGUGGCACUAUUCACAACAGCAAAGACAUGGAAUCAACCCAAAUGUCCAACAACGAUAGACUGGAUUAAGAAAAUGUGGCACAUAUACACCAUGGAAUACUAUGCAGCCAUAAAAAAUGAUGAGUUCAUGUCCUUUGUAGGGACAUGGAUGAAGCUAGGUGAAGCAAUUCCUUUCCUGAGGAAAAUAGAACUCACUCUGCUCUGGCUUGUAUGAGGAGGAAUAGGAUAUAAGCAGUUGAGGAAGAACGGUCCAUGAGUUGCCAUCCUUCCCUCUUCCUGCCUGCCAGAAGAGGUAGAGCCCACUGAAGAAGGAGCAGAAUAAGGAAUGGAAACCUUAGUUACAAGUCCAAGAAAUUCUACCCACUCUACUAUUUUUUUAUGUGUAACUUGAUUUAUAGUUUUUACUUUGAAAGAAUGUAACUAUUGUACAUGUUUCAUAAAGUAUCAAUAGCUGAAUAGA
RNAcentral lists this long non-coding RNA (1909 nucleotides) under Homo sapiens (human). RNAcentral describes it as "HSALNT0373804". The record is from RNAcentral. Lineage: Eukaryota; Metazoa; Chordata; Mammalia; Primates; Hominidae.